AGCUAGGUGGGUUCAUAUUUAGUAAUUUCUGCCCGGUGACCUUUUAACGGCCGCAGUACUUUGACUGUGCUAAGGUAGCAUAAUCAAUUGGCUUUUAAUUGAAGUCUAGAAUGAAUGGAGGAAUGGGAAUAAGCUGUCUUAAAGAAUUUAAAAUGAAGUUAUUUAGUGGGUGAAAAUACCCACGAAAUCAAAAAAGACGAGAAGACCCUUAGAGUUUUUUUGUUGGGGUGACAGGUAAACAAACUUUACUUAAUGAAAAUUUAAACUACCUUAGGGAUAACAGCAUAAUCUUAUUUAAGGAUUGUGACCUCGAUGUUGGACUAGGAAAAUUAUAAUUAGAAAUUAAAAUUUAAAGUUCUGUUCGAACUAUUUCUCCU
Molecule: ribosomal RNA, 377 nt
Filed under: Discartemon epipedis
Lineage: Eukaryota; Metazoa; Mollusca; Gastropoda; Stylommatophora; Streptaxidae
Description: partial large subunit ribosomal RNA
Rfam family: Bacterial large subunit ribosomal RNA
Source: RNAcentral